AGGACGAACGCUGGCGGCGCGCUUAACACAUGCAAGUCGAGCGAGAACCGAAGCCUUCGGGCAUCGGGGAAAGCGGCGAACGGGUGAGUAACACGUGGGCAACCCACCCUUGGUACCGGGAUAGCCCGGGGAAACCCGGAUUAAUACCGGAUGGCCCAGCAGCCUUUCGGGGUGGCUGGAAAAGGGAGCUUCGGCCUCCGACCAAGGACGGGCCCGCGGCGGAUUAGCUUGUUGGUGGGGUAACGGCCUACCAAGGCGACGAUCCGUAGCUGGUCUGAGAGGACGAUCAGCCACACUGGGACUGAGACACGGCCCAGACUCCUACGGGAGGCAGCAGUGGGAAUCUUGCGCAAUGGGCGAAAGCCUGACGCAGCGACGCCGCGUGGGGGAAGAAGGCUUUCGGGUUGUAAACCGCUUUCACCAGGGGCGAAGCGAGAGUGACGGUACCUGGGGAAGAAGCGCCGGCUAACUACGUGCCAGCAGCCGC
Molecule: ribosomal RNA, 487 nt
Filed under: uncultured bacterium
Lineage: Bacteria
Description: SSU rRNA
Rfam family: Bacterial small subunit ribosomal RNA
Source: RNAcentral